AAAACAGUUGUCAAUCACAUGACUUUGAUCUGGAAAGACACUUUUGGACAUUAUCUACUGGCAAAGGUACAUUUAAAUAUUCCAACUGUGACGGACUCAACACGAUGAUGUCCCGAAAGGAUGAGAUGCAGUAAAAUAUAAAAAACAAAAAGCCGAGCAAUUAAGCGUGAAAUAAGGUAUGAUGGUCUCCCAUAUUUGUACAGUUUGAAUAACCCGUACUAUUUGGAAUAUCAGGAGAUUGAGGAAGACAUUGAACAUCAACUAAAACUUGCACAGGCAAAUUUUGUGAAGAUGUAGAAGCUGAAAUAUUCUUGCAUAGAGUGCAGCAACAACCAGGACAACAAACAUUGCCUUUCCGCUCACAUAGACAUCUGUUGUUGACACAACCUGUUUUACAAUUGCAUCCCUUUGUAAGAAAAAGGACAGUAUGUUCAACUCGAGAAUAGUUUUCUGUAGUAUCCCAUAUUAUAGACAAGCAAGAAUCACAUUUCAUUUCCCAUCCAUAUUCAAUAUGAUAAAAAAAGUUAAACAUAGGAAUGUAGGGCUUUGUCCCACAUAUCAGAUAUCCAGCAACCAAGCAUCCAGUGAAAUUUUAAUGCUUUAGCUGUUGGAAUCAUCUCAUCUUCAUUGACCAUUCGAUCCCAUUUUUUUCUCUAAUCUUCUCUAAGAAAUCUAAAUGAAUUUGUAGGUCGUCCUUUUCGUGGGAUAUUUGGAGAAUGAAAAGGUUUUUUGGUGAAGAAAUGUUUUCAGGAAAUGCUGUCCUGUGAUUCAAAAAGUGUAGCGUACCAAUAAGUCUAUAAAAUGCCAAAAGACCAUUGGGAUUGGUUUCUGCAAGAGAACCUGGAAAUUCUGUACCUGAUAUGAAAUCACAGUGUUUCCUAAAGUUGUCAAAAACUAUUCUGUUAGUAAAUCCUCUGAAGAAAGAGACAUAGUCACAACCAGUUACAAUGAACAGAUUUUGUAGGCAUUUAUGAAGGUUUUCAAUAUUUUGUAACAAGGGAUCAUUUGCUAUCUCACUGCUUAAUGUGUUCAUGUCAAGGUAUUUUUUUUCGAAGUUGCUGUCCUUCAAGUGAAUGAAAAUUGUUUUAUUUUUAAGAGAAUCUUCAGACAUAAUCAGAGGUAAACCUAUGAAGCAGACAUCUGUAUCAGGACUGUAGAUCAAAAUAUUUGUACAAGGAGAUGAAGAGGCAUGCAACCAUACUUUGCUAUCACUUUCUUCGUGAUUUCCAUUAGACUUUGAAUAUUCAAAUAUUUCGUCUUCAAGAACACAAUGGCCUUGUCCUUGUUGUCACCUUCAAAACCCCCUGCUGUAACAAAAACAAAAUCGCGUGACCUUGAAAGUUCUAAAAAUUUAACUGAAUGAUACUGUACAAGGUUUCUUUUGUUUUGUCUGUUGAAAAGAAACCUUUGCCAGUCAGAAGGAAGAGUGGUUGAAUCAGAAAUAGAUAUUGAGUCCGAAAUUUCAAAAUGAAGCUGGUGACCCAGAUCUCUGCGUGCACGUUCCACAUCCUUUGGGCUAGGACCAUUUCUUUCAGGAUCAUCAAAAAGUACAUGUAUAUCAGAAGCAUUGUACUGUGCAUAGAAAUAGAGAACCCAUUUGUCAAAUAAGAAACUGGCAUAUUAAAGAGAGAAAAUAUGGUAACCAAGUUGACGAGAAUUAAUGAUGAACAUUCCCUCCAAAAAAAUACCUAUUGUGUUAGAACUUGAAAAGGAAAGGAUGUCUGUGUAAGAAGAAGAUUAGAGUGAUUUGAAGAGGUUCACAACACUGGAUUUUUCACCUUUAAUUGGUAGUUCAUCAGCAGUACAUAUAGCUCGAGGCAGUUUUAUUAAUUGAUGCAGUUCUUCCACAGGCUUUUCUAAUGUUUUGAAUAAGCUAAUUGCGCUUUCUUAAAUAGUGAAUAACAGUUUUAUUGUCUUGUAGUUCCUUUUUUUGUUGUAGGUUGUUUUUUGUAAUGAUUGCAGAAAGUGUUUUUAGGUUUCUUCGUUUUCUAGGAACUUUUUUAUUUUUUAGAACUACACAACUGAUAAAACUUUUAAAAUCCUCUUCUCCAUAUUUCCUGUAGUUGAGCAUGUCAGAUGUUUGGUGCGCAUGUUUCUCCUGUAAAUAUCUGGUGUAAUUUUGUAUUGGUUCCAGUUGUAAAUAAAGACUUUUCAUGUAUUCUUGGAUGUAUUUCUCAUCAAUUUGUCUGAUAGAAAUUUCCCCAAUAGAUGAAUUUUGAUGAUAAAUUAAAAGCUGUUUUUCAAAUUUUGUAGGAUUUUUGCUCUAAAAGGUAAUGAUUAGCAAGUAGAAGCUAACGACUGUUUUGUGGUUGAAUUCAGUGAAUAUUUGGUUUGCAAAUUAAUUUGCAUUUCAUGUGCUUCAUCUAAAUCCACACAGUUAUAUUCGGUGCCUGUGAUAGACACUGCAAACGUCCCUAAGGAGAAGAAAUCUGAAAUAGGUUGUGGAAAGGUCAACAAGUCUGAUAAAUGAUAAGGUACAUGUUUAAGAUAUAGAGGUCUGUCAAAAGCAUGAAAAAGAGGACAUAUCAUUUUCAAGGAGGCCAUUCUCAGGUUCCAGUUUCUUGAUCUAUAAGAAAUAUACAGGGCAAAGUAUAAAAGGAAAUCAGUGUGUAUGAAGUUGUCCAAAAAUCUGAAUGUUUCGUCCUCCUCUCUCUUUUUGGAACGCCAGAGUUUGAAAUCAGAAUCUUAAUUAAGACGUGCUAUAAAGUAAUAAGAAGGGGUGACAGUUUCUUGUGUGUGUUUUGUGAGAAAGUUGUGGAAUAAUUGGUUAAUAGAAAUAAAAAUCAUUUUCUAUCUAA
Molecule: long non-coding RNA, 2798 nt
Organism: Mytilus californianus (California mussel)
Lineage: Eukaryota; Metazoa; Mollusca; Bivalvia; Mytilida; Mytilidae
Exons: 2
Source: RefSeq, a predicted model, not a curated record